UUAAUGGAUAAAAAGAAUUUUAUUACUCAAUUAAGUAGAGACAAAUCAUUUGAUAACAGUAUACAUCCAUUUAUGAUAAGAACUCUUUAAAAACUUAGAAUAGAGGGGAAAGUCUUCAAUCUGAUAAAUGUAUUUACUAAAGUCUACAUCAAACAUCAUACUUCAUGGUGAAAUAUUAUGAACAUUUUCUAUCAGAUCAGGAAUGAGACACAGAUAUCCACAAUCACCAUUAAUGCCCUGAUCAUGCCAAGGAUAGAAGUGCAGAAGAGGAUUGUGUUGAAUCUAUAGAUCAACCUGAGAAGAAUUGGUAUCUACAGAAGAUGAAGCCUUCCAUCCAAGACCGUAGCGUGUCUCUCCAUUAUUUAGGUUUUCUUUAUUUGUUCUCAGCAGUGUUUUAUGGUUUUCAGUGUAGAGAUCUUGCACAUAUUUUGUCUUUAUCUACAAAAAUCUUUCUAGGAUUUUGAUAGUUAUUGCAUUAAAACUAUAUACAAAUUUGAGAAUUAACAUCUUUACUAUGUUGAGUCUUGUAAUCCAUGAGGAUGGUUUGUCUCCUCAAUUAUUUUGAUCUUCUUUGAUUUCUUUCAUCAGCAUUGUGUAGUUUUCAGCAUAAAGUUUUGAACAUAUUUUUGUUCCUUAUAUACCUAAAUAUUUCUUUUUGUAAUUGUGAAUGACAUAGUAUUUUUAAAUUCAUUGUAUACUGUUUAUUGCUAGUGUAUACAAAUAUAGUGGGGUUUUGCAUGUUUAUCUUGAAUCCUAUGAUCUUCCUGAAGUCAUUUAUUAAUUCUAGGAGUUUUUGUUUGUUGAUUGAUUCCUUGGUAUUUUCUACAUAGAAAACCAUGUUAUCUGCAAAUGGUGAUAGUUUUGUUUCUUCCUUUCCUAUCAGAAUGAUUUUCUUUCCAUUACUUGCCUCAUUGCACUAGCUAAAAUUUCCAGCACCAUGCUGAAUAAGAAUGGUGAGAAUGAACAUCCUUGCCUUCUUCGCAAUCCUGGGGGAAAACCACUGAGUAUUCAUAAUUAAGUACGGUGUUAACUGUGGGCUUUUUUAGAUGUGCUUUAUCAAGUUGAGGAAGUUUUUCUCUGUUUCUUUUGGGGUUUUUUUGAGAAUCUUUUGUCAAGUGCUCUUUCUGUGUCAAUUGACAUCUUCACAUGAUUUUUGUUCCAUAGUAUCUUAUGAUGGCAAAUUACAGUGACUGAUUUUUAAUAUUCCACCAGAUUUGCAUGACUGAAAUAAAUCCCAUUUGAUCAUAGUGUAUAAGUCUUUUUACAUGUUGCUGAAUUCUAUUUGUUAACAUUUUUUGAUGGGCAUGUAUCUAUAUUGAUAAGGAAUAUUUGUUGUGAUUUUCUUUCUUUGUGUUGUCUUUAUGUAGUUCUGGAGUGAGGUAACACUAGCUUCACAAAAUGCAUUAGGAAGUGUUUCCUCUUCUAUUUUCAAGAAAAGAUUGUGUAGAAUCAGUACUAAUUCUUUUUUAACAUUUGGUAAAGUUCUCCAAUGAAAUCAUCUGCAUUUGUUAUUUUCUUUUUUUGUGAGUUUUGAAAUAAUGAAUUCGAUUUUCAUAAUAAUCAUAGGGCUAUUCAAACGUUCCGUUCCAUAUUGGGUAAAUUGUGGCAGUUUGUGAUUUUUGAGGAAUUAGUCUAUUUCAUCUAGAUUGUCAAAUUAAAGUAUGUAGAUGUGUAAUGUUGUUCAUAGCAUUCCUUUGUUAAACUUUUGAUGUAUGCAGGGUCUUUGGUGACAUCUCCUGUUUCACUCCCAAUAUUGGAUUUUGUGUCUUCAUUUUUUUUCCCUGUCAGUCCUUCUAGAGGUUUGUCAAUUUUAUUGAUCUUUUCUAAGAACCAGUUCUUUGUUUUCUUGAUUUUCUCUAUGGUUUCUCUGUUUUCAAUUUCAUUGAUUUUUGCUCUUAUUUUUAUCAUAGUCUUUCUUCUGCUUGCUUUAGUUUUAUUUUGCUCUUCUUUUUCUAGGUCCUUGAGGUGGGAGCUAAGACUCUUGAUUUGGGAGUUUUCUCUUUUCUAAUGUAUGCAUUUAGUGCUCAGUAAAACUUUAGUUGUGCCCCACAAAUUUCAAAAUGCUUUAUUUUCAUUUUCAUUUAGUUCAAAGUAUUUUUAUUUCCCCUGAGAUUUCUUCAUAAGCUCAAGGAAUGGAAAUAUAUUGUUUAGUCUGUACAUAUUAGAAAAAUUUUCUAUCUUUUUGUGAUUGAUUUUGAAUUUAAUUACACUGUAGUUGGUGGACACACUAUAUAUGAUUUCAAUUCUUUUAAGUAGUUUUAUGAUUUGUUUUAUGGCCCAGGAUAUGGUCUCUCUUGAUGUAUCUUCUGUGGGCACUUGGAAAGAAUGUGCUUUCCUCUACUGUUGGAUGGAAUAUUCCAUAAAUGUUGGUUAGAUCCUUUUGAUGGUGUUCUUGAGUUCUGUAUUCUUGAUGAUUUUCUGACUGGUUGUCCUAU
This is a long non-coding RNA of Equus asinus (donkey), 2435 nucleotides long. The record is from Ensembl. NCBI's taxonomy places the organism in Eukaryota, Metazoa, Chordata, Mammalia, Perissodactyla, Equidae.